CAGGUGCUGCAUGGCUGUCGUCAGCUCGUGUCGUGAGGAUGUUGGGUUAAGUCCCGCAACGAGCGCAACCCUUGUCAUUAGUUGCUACGAAAGGGCACUCUAAUGAGACUGCCGGUGACAAACCGGAGGAAGGUGGGGGAUGACGUCAAGUCCUCAUGGCCCUUAUGGGUAGGGCUUCACACGUCAUACAAUGGUCGGGACAGAGGGUUGCCAACCCGCGAGGGGGAGCUAAUCUCAUAAACCCGAUCGUAGUCCGGAUUGCAGUCUGCAACUCGACUGCAUGAAGUCGGAAUCGCUAGUAAUCGCGGAUCAGCAUGUCGCGGUGAAUACGUUCCCGGGUCUU
RNAcentral lists this ribosomal RNA (343 nucleotides) under uncultured Alcaligenaceae bacterium. RNAcentral describes it as "bacterial SSU rRNA". It matches the Rfam family "Bacterial small subunit ribosomal RNA", at positions 1035 to 1382 of the family's 1533-position model. The record is from RNAcentral. Lineage: Bacteria; Pseudomonadati; Pseudomonadota; Betaproteobacteria; Burkholderiales; Alcaligenaceae.